GAUGAAGAACGUAGUGAAAUGCGAUAAGUAAUGUGAAUUGCAGAAUUCAGUGAAUCAUCGAAUCUUUGAACGCACAUUGCGCCCUCUGGUAUUCCGGGGGGCAUGCCUGUUCGAGCGUCAUUAUAACCACUCAAGCUUUCGCUUGGUAUUGGGGCUCGCGGUUCCGCGGCCCCUAAAAUCAGUGGCGGUGCCUGUCGGCUCUACGCGUAGUAAUACUCCUCGCGAUUGAGUCCGGUAGGUCUACUUGCCAGCAACCCCCAAUUUUUACAGGUUGACCUCGGAUCAGGUAGGGAUACCCGCUGAACUUAAGCAUAUCAAUAAGCGGAGGA
RNAcentral lists this unclassified non-coding RNA (329 nucleotides) under soil metagenome. RNAcentral's name for it is "partial contains 5.8S ribosomal RNA, internal transcribed spacer 2, and large subunit ribosomal RNA". The stretch from base 1 to 120 matches the Rfam family "5.8S ribosomal RNA", at positions 35 to 154 of the family's 154-position model. The record is from RNAcentral.